AGGGCGCUUAGCUCAGUUGGUAGAGCGUCUGCCUUACAAGCAGAAUGUCGGCGGUU
Molecule: transfer RNA, 56 nt
Filed under: Acinetobacter baumannii 44327_1
Lineage: Bacteria; Pseudomonadati; Pseudomonadota; Gammaproteobacteria; Moraxellales; Moraxellaceae
Description: partial tRNA-Val
Rfam family: tRNA
About the family: Transfer RNA (tRNA) molecules are approximately 80 nucleotides in length. Their secondary structure includes four short double-helical elements and three loops (D, anti-codon, and T loops). Further hydrogen bonds mediate the characteristic L-shaped molecular structure. tRNAs have two regions of fundamental functional importance: the anti-codon, which is responsible for specific mRNA codon recognition, and the 3' end, to which the tRNAs corresponding amino acid is attached (by aminoacyl-tRNA synthetases). tRNAs cope with the degeneracy of the genetic code in two manners: having more than one tRNA (with a specific anti-codon) for a particular amino acid; and 'wobble' base-pairing, i.e. permitting non-standard base-pairing at the 3rd anti-codon position.
Source: RNAcentral